This 720-nucleotide ribosomal RNA is filed under the name Salmonella enterica. RNAcentral's name for it is "partial 23S ribosomal RNA". It matches the Rfam family "Bacterial large subunit ribosomal RNA", at positions 2211 to 2925 of the family's 2925-position model. The record is from RNAcentral. RNAcentral also lists the same sequence under 1 other name. Lineage: Bacteria; Pseudomonadati; Pseudomonadota; Gammaproteobacteria; Enterobacterales; Enterobacteriaceae.
UGUUUGAUGUUCUAACGUGGACCCGUGAUCCGGGUUGCGGACAGUGUCUGGUGGGUAGUUUGACUGGGGCGGUCUCCUCCUAAAGAGUAACGGAGGAGCACGAAGGUUGGCUAAUCCUGGUCGGACAUCAGGAGGUUAGUGCAAUGGCAUAAGCCAGCUUGACUGCGAGCGUGACGGCGCGAGCAGGUGCGAAAGCAGGUCAUAGUGAUCCGGUGGUUCUGAAUGGAAGGGCCAUCGCUCAACGGAUAAAAGGUACUCCGGGGAUAACAGGCUGAUACCGCCCAAGAGUUCAUAUCGACGGCGGUGUUUGGCACCUCGAUGUCGGCUCAUCACAUCCUGGGGCUGAAGUAGGUCCCAAGGGUAUGGCUGUUCGCCAUUUAAAGUGGUACGCGAGCUGGGUUUAGAACGUCGUGAGACAGUUCGGUCCCUAUCUGCCGUGGGCGCUGGAGAACUGAGGGGGGCUGCUCCUAGUACGAGAGGACCGGAGUGGACGCAUCACUGGUGUUCGGGUUGUCAUGCCAAUGGCACUGCCCGGUAGCUAAAUGCGGAAGAGAUAAGUGCUGAAAGCAUCUAAGCACGAAACUUGCCCCGAGAUGAGUUCUCCCUGAGACUUUAGGUCUCCUGAAGGAACGUUGAAGACGACAACGUUGAUAGGCCGGGUGUGUAAGCGCAGCGAUGCGUUGAGCUAACCGGUACUAAUGAACCGUGAGGCUUAACCUU